Molecule: non-coding RNA, 29 nt
Filed under: Mus musculus (house mouse)
Lineage: Eukaryota; Metazoa; Chordata; Mammalia; Rodentia; Muridae
Source: RNAcentral
UCCAUUCACAGCUGCGACUGAACAAUUGU